AUCUAACUGACGAGUCCCAAAUAGGACGAAACACGCGUCAAACUGGAU
RNAcentral lists this non-coding RNA (48 nucleotides) under Schistosoma curassoni. The record is from RNAcentral. Lineage: Eukaryota; Metazoa; Platyhelminthes; Trematoda; Strigeidida; Schistosomatidae.